RNAcentral lists this ribosomal RNA (253 nucleotides) under uncultured bacterium. Its description in RNAcentral is "partial 16S ribosomal RNA". It matches the Rfam family "Bacterial small subunit ribosomal RNA", at positions 524 to 776 of the family's 1533-position model. The record is from RNAcentral.
UACAGAGGUCCCAAGCGUUGUUCGGAUUCACUGGGCGUACAGGGUGCGUAGGCGGUCGGGUAAGUCUGACGUGAAAUCUUCAAGCUUAACUUGGAAACUGCGUCGGAUACUAUUCGGCUGGAGGAAUGGAGGGGAGACUGGAAUACUUGGUGUAGCAGUGAAAUGCGUAGAUAUCAAGUGGAACACCAGUGGCGAAGGCGAGUCUCUGGACAUUUCCUGACGCUGAGGCACGAAAGCCAGGGGAGCAAACGGG